UACGGGGGGGGCAAGCGUUGUUCGGAAUUACUGGGCGUAAAGGGCUCGUAGGCGGCCAGCUAAGUCAGACGUGAAAUCCCUCGGCUUAACCGGGGAAUUGCGUCUGAUACUGGAUGGCUUGAGUUUGGGAGAGGGAUGCGGAAUUCCAGGUGUAGCGGUGAAAUGCGUAGAUAUCUGGAGGAACACCGGUGGCGAAGGCGGCAUCCUGGACCAACACUGACGCUGAGGAGCGAAAGCCAGGGGAGCAAACGGG
Molecule: ribosomal RNA, 253 nt
Filed under: uncultured bacterium
Lineage: Bacteria
Description: partial 16S ribosomal RNA
Rfam family: Bacterial small subunit ribosomal RNA
Source: RNAcentral